This is a long non-coding RNA of Gopherus flavomarginatus (Mexican gopher tortoise), 4211 nucleotides long. RefSeq lists it as uncharacterized. The record is from RefSeq and is a predicted model, not a curated record. The transcript is spliced from 2 exons. Lineage: Eukaryota; Metazoa; Chordata; Testudines; Testudinidae.
UUAGCCAAUAUUUUAUUGAAAUAAUUCCAGAUAGCUGAGACUGAUUAGCAAAAGCCUGGAUCCCCAGGAAUAUUUUGUCAUAUAUUGCUUUUGCAGUGUCUCGCAGUAACCUUUUUAGCACGUCUUAAAACUGUCAAGAUCUGUUGUCUCUGAUGGCAUCUUACAGAUAUUCUCCGUCCAACUUGUUGCCAGUGUCUCUCUCACUAGCUGUGAGGUUGUUGUAGUUCUGACUACACCGUCAAUUUUAAUAAAUAUGAUUUCUGCUCCUAACAGACCGGCACCUUAGCUGCUGGCGGGAGAAGAGGCCCAGAAGCAGAUUUACAGGCUAUCUUUCAGGCAUUCAGAUCUCGUAGUGGAGGGUGUGGUAUAAGAACCUGAAUAGAAUAGGAUUCCAAUUCUUUGUCUGAGCCUAAAAACCUGUUGAUUUAGCAUAACAAAUGGUUUUUUUUAAUACAAUUUUUACUGUCUGCUCAGCUACUAUUUUUCAUAUUUAAAUAUUUUGGUUGUUUUAGAAAAAGGUUUACAGUGACCUGCAACGGGAAAUCAUAUAUUUGGGACCUUCCUUCCUUUGUGACAUAUAAAGUAGAUCUGAAAGGUUUUAUUUAAAUUUCAACUUUUUUUUCCUUUUUUAAAAUUUUGUUAACAUUAGAAAUAUCAGGUCUCUUCUUCCCUGUUCUGCUGGAAGAGUAUAUGCAACAGGGAGGAACCAAUGCAAAUAUAAUAGCACAAGAGUAUGAAAAUAUAACAGUUGAGUAGGGAAGGGAUUUUUAGUCAGUUUUGAACACCCAUUUAAUUCAAACUUGAUACAUGCUUAGGGUAAAAAGCUGAAGCUUCAGUCACCCUCACCCCUUCAAUUGAGGCUGAAAAAAGAACUGGAACAGGAGUUUAAUUUAUCAAGAGUCCUCUGGUUUAAAACGUUGCAGACAACAUUUGAUGUUCUGUAGGGGAAAAAAACAAUCAGAAAAAAUCUUUCCAAAUCUCUUUGUCAUCUCUGUUGUAUGAGCACUUCAUAAGUAUUAAUGGACUUAUCCUCACAUCACUGGAGUGAGCUGGGGAAGUAUUAUCACCAUUUUACAAAUGAGGAACUGAGGUACAGGAAUGGAAAAAUUUGCCCGAGACAACCCAAGAAAUCUAUGGUAGAGCCAGGAAUGGAAGCAGAUCCCAUGAGUCUCAGUCUAGCACCUUAACCACAAGACCAUCCUUCUUCAGUCCUGCUUUGUAUGGCUUCUGUUUUCAAUAAUUGUUGUACAGCCCUAGAGCCUGGGAAAUAGGUACUUAGAUAUUUGUUGCUCUAAAUAUUUUACAAAUCACCGUAAAACAGUAAAAGGCCCAAGCACAAUUUUUCUUCUGCUGGUUACCUUCUAAAAAUUACACAGACAAGAUAAUGACUUUAAGAGCUAUUGACAGCACAACAAAAUCAUUUGAGGACAUUUUUUAUGUAUAAGAAGUAGUUUAAUAAUGUGCAUAACAGACACUGUAGAGUAACAGCCUGUUACAAUUUGUUUUCCAACUUGUUUAGAACUCAAAACAGGCAGUUGACUUCACAAACUCAAUGUAGUGCAGAGUGGCCAAGGGAUUCAGCUGUAAAAAUCAGGACUUUUUGUGGGAAAAAUGGGACCACGAUUACAAUGAAAAGUUCUUUAAUAAAGUGAAAUCCAUUCUCCUGGGCUCUAAUGCACCAAAUCAAAAACUCUAUUCGUGAUGAUAAUAUCUUUAUCCAUUUUCUUCUAGUGCCCUGUCCAUGCUUCCUCACUGAGGAGUUAAAUAAUGGAUGGUUCAUUAUUUCAGGAAAGAUUACAAAAUAUAAGACAUUGGAAGACUUGGUGGACUUUCAUAAACAUAGUUCUAUUAGACCUUACAAUGAACUGUUAAUCCAACUAUGUGGAUAGGAGAGUGAUUAAAAUACUGAUUAUGAAUAAUUGUUUUCUCACAUGGUUAUUUUAAAUAAUGAUAUGAGUUGUGCAAAUCUCUUAGUGGCUUUGCUCCCUGAGAAUCUGACUGAAACCAGUGGCUGCAUUUCAGGAUUCACGCUAGCACAGCAAAACUAUUCCAGGAAACAGAACAAUAAUGCAACUUAAUCUUCCAUCAGAUCAGGAAGCUCCCCCACUCCCACCCAGGACAGUGGCAUCCAAAUGAUUCUUCAACAUUAGUGACAAAGAACCUUCUUCAACACAAACUGAUUGUCCUAGCUGCAGUUUGAAUGGACUUCAUGCUCCAGUUACAGAAAAAAUGAAGUCUGAGUCAAAUAUAUCUAGUAAGAUAGAUUUAAUAUGUGUAAUUAGACUAUCAAAUUUCAAGUUCUCGUUUAAAGCUUUUUGUAUUUACAACAUGCAAACACAACAAACUAUUGAUAAAACAAUCUGAAUUGAGCUAUAAAUGGAGAAAACAUCAAAACUGAUGGAAAACAAUCUAUAAUGGAUUAGGAAGAAUAUACUAGGAUAUUUAAGGAGGAUCAUGGAUUAAGAUUGAAUUUACCUUUAGAUACAAUAAAAGAUGCGAAUUCGUGUCCUCUAUAUAUUUUUUGUAACAUCUUAAAGCAUUAACCUUCAGCAGCAUCUGUGGAGCAAUUCCACUUAAUCUUGGAGGAUUUCUCUAGCACUAGAAAAAACUAAGGAUGGCUUUUAAAGUGGAAUAGUCAGAUAAAGACUUGAUAGUAGUGUACCAGGUAGGAUACUGUAUUUGCCUAACACAUUGCUGGAAAGUUAUACACCUCUACCCUGAUAUAACGUGACCCAAUAUAACACAGGUUUGCAAACAACGCGGUAAAGCAGCAGAUCAGCGCAUCAGCUCCUAGCCACAGCGCUCUGCUUCUCGCCACCAGUGAGUGUGGGGAGACUGGGGAAAGGACACACCUGCAGUGGGAAGCGGAGCGCACUGCUGGGAGCUGGUGGAGUGGAGCGGGCUGGGGAUGGGCUGCUCCGCUUCCUCUGCUGCUGGUAGGUGAUGGACCUUCCCCCCCACCCCAGCGACAUGGCUGGGGCCGGCCACAGUGCUCUGCUUCCCGCCGCAGGUGAGUAUGUGGGGGGGGGGGGCAUCCUUUCCCCAACCUCCCUGCAUUCACCAGCAGAAGCACAGCACCGUGGCCAGGAGCUUGCGGAGUGGAGCGGGUUGGGGCCUACCUGCUCUGCUUCCCGCCGCUGCUGCUGAGUACCUGUCAGGUGGAUGAGGGUGUGAAUAGGGGUCAGGGAAGUCAGGGGACAGGGAGCAGGAGGGUUGGGUGGAGGUGGAGUCCUGGGAGUGAUUAGGGAUGGGGGUCUUUGGAGGGGGAGGUCAGGGGACAAGGAGCAGAGGGUCCAAAGUAAGUUCAAUAUAACGCGGUCUCACCUAUAGCGCAGUAAGAUUUUUUGGUUCCGGAGAACUGCGUUAUAUCGGGGUAGAGGUGUAUAUUUUUUGUACGUUCUUUUUAGGGCCUGGCUCACUCUGAACGACAAAAAAUAGCUAAUUCUGAAAAUGACAGCAUGUGGUGCUACAUGUAUUCUCCAUUACUGCAUUACAGAUCAGAUCUGCUCAGGCUGUAAAUCAAAACAAGACUUUUUUAAAAGAUAUUUUAUUGGCCAAAAAAAACUUCUGCUAAAUUACAAAGGGAAAUCUUGAUGAAUUGUAUCUUCUAAAGAUUUAAACAAGACAAAACAAGACUUUUCUCCCUUGCUCUUCAGUGUCUGAAAAUCCUUAUUUGGUCCGCUUUAUUUAUCUCUUUCAUAUGAGCAGUAACCUCAAGCAAAAGGUAAUGACAUAUUGCAGACUCAAGUUGCAGUUCUCAUCUCUCUUUCACCAGAUUCAGAUUCGAAUGUGAAAUGUACUAUUUACACAAAAGAAAGAAAAUAACUUGUGUGGCUUUUCAUGUGUAGAUCUAAAAACACUUCACUAAGGCUGAAUAAACUAAACUAACAGCUGAAAGCCAAGUGCUAGGACUGUGUUAUAAGUCGAUGAUUGUUUCAUAGACACAUUUUUUUGGUAUCUGGUAUUCUUAUGUAACUGAAACACUUCAUAAGAUAAGACAGAAGUCAGAAACUGAGUCUGGAGAGAAAAGUAUAAUUGAGUGUAUGCUGAAUAGUAAUCUUUAUGAAUGGUAAUUCAAUGUAUUGUGUGACAGAGAUCCAGUCAUCCUUAACUUGGGUACACUUUAUUUUAUUUUCUGGUUUGGGGCUAAGAAUUUAAAAUGCUGAAGUUUGAAGAAUCUUAUGAUACAAUUAAAAAUUCUUUAAUUUUAA